UGUGACAAGUAUCAGUAAUGCAGGAAGACGCAGAGGUAGAGCAAGAAGAGUAGUGAAAAGAGAGACCUAAAUAAGGAGCAAAUUAUUGGCAUGGGAAAAAUUCCGAUACAAUUUCCUGGUCUGAACACUUCUGUGUUUAGAGGAAAAGAAUUAAUUCAACAGCUAAAACUGCUUGUAAAUCUUGAAAGAAAGCAAAAACUUAUGGAAUUACCACAAAGUCAGACCAGACCAAUGCAAAUAAAAUUAUCGCCAUUGGAAUGUGUUGGAGGAGUGUUACAAUGGAUGGCAGAAGCAUUGAAUCAGAUCUUAUUGGAAAAGAUACAUUUGAAAGUUUUGAAACCUGGAUUUUGGAAAACAAAAUGAUAACUUGUAUGACCAGUAAUUUAGCAUAUAAGACUAGAAUCAAUUCAUUUAUAGUAACUGGGAAUGGAAAAGGAUUGGCUGGAUUUGUGUUAUCAAAAGCCAAAGCAUCCCUAAACGAUUAAAAAUAGAGUUGGUCAAAGAUUAAUGUAUAUUCCUACAUAUAAGGAACACACUGUGUUACAUGAUUUCUUUACACAGUUUGAGAAUAUAAAAAUAUUUGUAAAGAAAAUUCAUGAAGGAUAAUGGGCUUGUUUGUCAUCAUGCGAUAAAAGCAUGUUAUGAGAUAAUUGGCAUAAAGGAUAUGUAUGCCAAAGUACAAGGAGGAAUGUAAAAGCAUUCUUUAUUGAUUUUUGCAAUAAGUGUGAAUAUAAAGUAUUUA
This 742-nucleotide long non-coding RNA is filed under the name Camponotus floridanus (Florida carpenter ant). RNAcentral's name for it is "uncharacterized LOC112639765". The record is from RNAcentral. Lineage: Eukaryota; Metazoa; Arthropoda; Insecta; Hymenoptera; Formicidae.